Long non-coding RNA from Camelus dromedarius (Arabian camel), 2636 nucleotides. RefSeq lists it as uncharacterized. The transcript has 2 exons. Lineage: Eukaryota; Metazoa; Chordata; Mammalia; Artiodactyla; Camelidae. The record is from RefSeq and is a predicted model, not a curated record.
UUAACAGAUGAUUAUUGAAUUUUUUAUGUAAAUUGUGCAUACUGCACUGUAAAAAUUUGAAAUCUACAAUCAUAGACUAUAGAACAAGCAGAUAUACACAAGACAAGUUAAGCCCACACUGUUUCAAGAGGCUUCUAUUUUUAAAAUGUAUGAAAUAUUUAUUUUCACAGAUUGAUGUGUUUAGGCAAAUCAUUUUAAAAUAUGUUGUCACAAUUACUUUGAAACAACAAUAAUUUUUAUCAUUAUUGUAAUUUUCAGUGUAUAUUCACAUGUGAUUCCAACAACUAUGACACUGAGUUGCUGAAGCAAAAUCAAGCAUUUUAGAAAUAAAGAAAUUAAAGGACAGGAAAAUUAAUUGACUUGCAGCAAUUUUUUUAUGCUGUCAUCUUGGCUAAGCUAGAAUAGUUUACAAGAAUCCCCUAUCCUGUAUGAUAGUUUGUUAACUGGCCCAAAUAAGAAAUUCUUUUUACAAAUUUUGGAAGGGGAAAAUAAAGCAGCUCAUCUGAAAUCUGUUAAUUUAGAGGUACGAGUAACAAAGAGAUACAUGUGGAUUCUAGCUAGUUCUUGCUGUCUUUGUCUCCACACCCACAUCAUCUUCCCAAAUGAAAAUCUUGCUGACCAAGAGCCACUGAGACCCAACAGAUAUGUGGAGACAGCAGCUUUCCAUAAUCUUUUGCACCAGGUCUCCUUUGCAGACCCACUUGGGCAGCCCAAACUGCUUUACUUCAAAGGGUUGGUUAUUGUCUUUUCCAUGAGCCUCCAAUUCUCCCUUUUAGAAAUUUAUGACCCCAGCAAUACACACAAUUUGGGGAAGUGCUAUCACAUAUCUAACCCCUUUUCACAUAAUACUCAUAUUUGUUUUCAUUUUCAGAUUGAAUCUGACUGAGACAUAACUUCGAUGAGAUCACACUGCUAUUAAACCUGCCCCAGAUACAUAUGCACUGGCUUGAGGACCAGCAUAUUGAAGGAACUUGAAAAUGGAAGACCACCUCCACCCUACUGCCCUCUUCAACAGAAAAGCAAUGGGACUGGUUCCUGACAUUGUGCCCUGUGGAGCUGUCAUUACAGCUUAAUCACUCCACUCACCAGAGAACUCGACAUAUCACAUCACACGUCUUAAGACUAUUUAGGAUGAUGGCACACAUUCCAAGCCAACUUUAUGAUUUCCUUUUUGGUGAUCUCCUCCUGUUGAAAAGUAAAAUGUCAUCCCAAAAGUUGUUUUCUGACGUUGGUUAUUUUAAGUGUCCACUAUCAGAUUUCCAUUCUCCCCUCUCUUUUCUCAUGUUCUCCUCUGAAUGGAUAUCCAUCCCUUUGUCAUCAUUUUGUCUAGUUUUCUGAUAUCCUAACCAUUCUCUUAAUUUCCAGUUCCACCUCCUGUAUACAAGGAACAUUAUUCUGGAAGACACUUCCCUGAAACCUGAGUUUCAACAGAAACUUGAGGGCAAGGGUUCUGCCCAUACAGUGAGAACAAGCAAUUAUAACCUUAAGAGAGUAUGGGAAUUCUGAUGUCACUACUCCGUGAUUCUUUAUUUUCAGUCAAUAAAUAACAUGUACCUCUGAUGAUGGCUGUAUGGUCAGGCCACUCAAGAUGGCUUCUCUCUAUACAUCUCCUGCUUGACUGGUGCCUGCUUCACCUACACACAACUCAUAAGACUGAUCUUCCUUCAUAUUCACCCCAGGCCCCAGCUAAUGACUGUUCUAGAUUUAGAUCAGAACUCACCACUAUGCUUAUCCAAGGGGUGGUGAGAGGCAUGACCCUGUGCUGAUUACCCUCGUAACCAAUGAGCCAACCUGACAUCAACUCCCCUAUGACUGGUAACCACUUCUUCCCCACCAGGAGCAAAGACUGCCAUCAUGUCCUGCCCUCCAGCUCCCACACAUGGCAGGAUGUUGCUCCAGGACUUUGCUUCAGAUGUGUAAGAUCACCCUAAUCAUUAAACUAUUGAUUAUCUCUGUUGCUGACUCUGGGAUCUUUCUCAGGUCUUGAAGCUGGGCAAGUACAGGGCUUGUAGACCUGCAGGGUGCAGUCCAGUGCUGACAUAGCUAAUUAAUACCCUCACAUAAAACACUUCAUUUAUAUAAACAUAAUGUAACUAGUAGCCAAAUUGGGUUCAAAAGAAUGGAAAUACAUGGAGAUCAGAAGCAACCUUAGCUCUAGGGUCCUCAGAAAGCCCAGAUUCAGUGGGAUAUCAUGGUACAGCACAAGGCUUGUGGGGAGAAAUGAAUAGCAGGCACAGCUUUGCCCAUCUCUUAUCUAAUUCUCAAUAGUUCCUUCUGCUAUUGGACCAACCUGGGAUGUGUCUAUGUCCAUUCAAAUACUAUCCCUUUCUGAAACUCUUAUGAAAAUUUCAGUGCACAUCAUGUUAAUUAUGAUGUUUCACUCAUGAUGCCACUUAAACUUAUCAUCAUCUUGCAUUGUUUCAAAAUAUUGAAUGUAUGUAAUUACUCUAAUUAUUUAUGUUGCCUUAUUUUAGUUGUGAUGGUUAUAUAUUUUUCCAGGUUUAUUUUCUUCUCUUGUAAAACUGUGCUCAAGCAAAGUAGAUCUACCCAAUGUUUCACAAUGAUACCCUGUACAUUUUGCCUUCCCAAAAUGUCACUUUAAAUAUUCUAUUUGAAGAGUUUUCUCUCUCUUCUCA